UCUCUCUCUCUCUCUCUCUCUCUCUCUCUCUCUGCCUCCGCUGCUUCUUCUUCCUCCACCCGUCGGUCCACCCGUCCACCCCUCAUCGGCGGCCAGAAUUUGGCGAGAAGGUCGUCGGAGGAGGAGGAAUCUGAGCUUGGAACCCUAGAUCUGACGGGGCGACUCCCAAUCUAGAAGACGAGAUCAUUCCAUGGCGUCAAUCCUGAGGAGGGGCAGCUUCUCUCUGGCGGUGGCGCUGCUGAUCUGCUCCCUCGCGGCGUCGCCGGCGGCGGCGACGGCGGACGCGCCGACGGCCUACGAGAUGCUGGAGAAGUACGGCUUCCCGAAGGGGAUCCUGCCGGAGGGGGUGACCUCGUACGUUCUGCGGGAGGAUAAGAGCUUCGAGGUCCAUCUGGGAGGCCGCGGCGACUGCGAUUUCGCGGUGGAGGGGGGCUACCUGCUCAACUACAAGAGGAAGAUCUCCGGGAGGCUGGACGAGGCCGCCGGAGCUUUGACGGAGCUCAAGGGAGUCAGCGUGAAGGUGCUCUUCGUCUGGUUCGGGAUCGGCGAGGUCGUGCGGGGGCAGAACUCCCUCAGCUUCUACGUCGGCCCCCUCUCCGCCUCCUUCCCCCUCUCCAACUUCGAGGACUGCCCUCACUGCCGCU
Molecule: long non-coding RNA, 644 nt
Filed under: Spirodela polyrhiza (greater duckweed)
Lineage: Eukaryota; Viridiplantae; Streptophyta; Magnoliopsida; Alismatales; Araceae
Description: long non-coding RNA (SPOL_LNC002667)
Source: RNAcentral